This 1524-nucleotide long non-coding RNA is filed under the name Numida meleagris (helmeted guineafowl). Its description in RNAcentral is "lncRNA (ENSNMEG00000010586.1)". The record is from RNAcentral. Lineage: Eukaryota; Metazoa; Chordata; Aves; Galliformes; Numididae.
AGAAAGAAAACAGCAAACAAACAAAACCAUACCAUUACAAGGAGAAGGACACUUCAGAAACUGGAAGAAAAAAGUCAUUGGCAAAAGAGUCCCUCUGAGCAGAUGCCAGAACAACUUUCUUGAGGAGGGCAACCAUGCAGUGGAUCCUGUAGGCUGCUCUGGGCACCCACAGCCAGGUGGUCAUCAUACAAUGUAAAGCAGAGUUCUUGGUUGCAUCCCAUUACCAGUUAGAAAAAUUCUUCUUUUAAUCAGCAAAAUAUUUCUAGCCCUCAGAAGAGUUUUAGAUAUCUCCUGGAACCCCUCCUUUGCAUACAAGUAAGAGUAUUUUUGAGCAUGGUCUAAAGGGGCAUGGAGAGCAACUAAAAUUCAAGUCUCUAAUGCUCUGAUUCUGAUCCGAAUAGAAUAUUUUGUGUGGGAUAUUUAGACACGUUAUUUCUGUGGUCAGAUUGCCAAGGUAUGAAGUGAAUAUGAUCAUCAUUUCAGGUUUUUUGUUUUUUUUUUUUAAUCUUUUCUUGCUUAACACAUAAUUGAAACAUUGGAUUUUCUGUUGUUACCUUCAUAACAGACAACACAUAGUUUGGUCAAGCUCUGUAUAAUCACCAGAUAUGGCAGAAAUCAUUUAAUGAUAUGAGCACAGGAAACAGUCAGGAGUUAUUCCUUCACAUGCUUCAGAGAGGCGAUUAUGGUAUUUCAGGAUAUACAGUGACAGAUUGACAAAGUUAUGCUUUUCUAUUUAUCCAUGGGGAUAAUUUAAUACCCACUUCAGAGCAGAAUGGCUUUGUGUAUUCAUUUGUAAAAUUGGAAGGGGCAUGCCAUAUCUAGCUGCGUCUUUACUUCUACUAAUGCUAAUCUUCUUUUUCCCAUAGUUUGAUUAAACUUUUGAAGCAUCUUGGAUCACAAUUCUCCAAUGGUCACAGCCUGCUGCUAUCAGAAUAUUCCCAGAUCUAAUCUGAAAAAACAUUUUGUUCCAGUUAUAACGAAGACAGUGAACUUCUGGAAUAUCACCAAACCACUCUCUGUAAAGCAUCACUCAGAAAACCACGGAGAGGGGUCUUACUCACUAUUUUCAAAUCUCUUUUUAGAUUGCUAAUAAAAAGACCCCACUGAAUUUACAAACAGUUUUUCUUGUUGUACUAAGAGUCAAGAAUAAUUUAAGAUUUAAAAAAAAUGAAUGUAAAUGAAUGUAACAUCACAUUAUCCACAAAGAAUUUCCUUUUUUGCCCUGACGUUAUCACCACUCUCACACACACAGCAUGAAUGUCUCAAUUCAGAAGAAAGAGUUGUGACAUCAUUCCAGUAAUUACCUUCAUCUGAAAGUCCUGAAUGUGCUCCAGCAGCCCAGCGAGGUGUGGGUGCUGCCAGCUGUUGGGGGAGAGGUAACUGAGUCUGAAUUUUGUAGCACAAUUCUCUUUGAGACAUCCCAUACUCUUUAUAGGAAGCACCAAAGUAAACGUAAUUUGGAAAUUCUUUUCUUAAAGUUUAGCAUUCAAGAGCAAUUUUGAGGCUGCCUUGUGAUCACCAGAC